UGUGCAAUUGCUUGUGUCCAUCUCCUGACUCCUGCUAUUGUCCUACAUACUUCAGGGGGAGGCAGGCUUGUGGAAAUGCCACGUAAGAAGAACAGAUGAGCUCCUCGUGCUUUAGAGAUGGGAAGCACCACCCCUUGGAAGUGCUAAUGAUGAUCAUUUAUAUUCAGUAGGCAUUUUGUGGAAAAAGACUCAGAUCUCCCAUGUUCCUACUCCCUAAUCGAAGACAACAUUUACCCAGGAAGAAAUUCCACGCGCCAAAAUUUCUGCAGCCUUUGGAGAGACAGAAGCUAGCGAUCACUCAGAUUGUUAUUCCUUCCCAGCUUUGAUUUAGUACAGCACAGCCCUUCUCAGCAUCAUCUGGCCAGGAUUUGAACUCUCACUAAUGCCCAGGAGGGUCAACGUGUUAAUAUACUUAGCGUCAGUAGGGGCCGUUUCAAAUAAUGCCGCCGAUGACAGAUUGAUGUUGGUAGCUCAUUAGACAGCGCACUGACUGAGACAUCACAUUCCUUUCAACAAGACUAAGCCUGGACCAUUUGCUAUUGUGCACAGAGGGAGGAGAAAUAUUUUUCUUUUUAUCUUUCCUGCCCCUCCUGUGUCCCGGCUGCAUUUCAGAAAUGCCAGCUAUCAGACCUGUCAUCAUAUAUGGCUUUCUUAAGCUGAAUAGCUCUGUCAAAACAACCCAGGCUUCAAGCAAAACCCGAAGCAGCCUGCGUGAAAGCAUCUUACUGUUUCCACAAAAGGACGGAUGUCACAAUCCUCCCAAGGGAACUGGAUGCAAUGGAAGUAAUGGGGUCCCGCCGUCUACCAUCCACACGCAUGCUAGUAGCAGGAUCACCUUCAUAAUGUUGAAAAGUAUCGUGGAACACUACACAGAAAGAAACCCAAACGUCGUGUUUGAUUUGACAGUUGCAGGCAACCCAAUAAUAAGAGUAAUAAAAAUAAUUACCCAUAAAAUCCUGAAAUGAUCUCCAAUGAUGUUUGUUUCACGUGCAUCGCAAAGUACCCUGUGCUAACUUUGCUUUAGUAUCAAAAAUAAACAGAGAGUAAAUGA
Molecule: long non-coding RNA, 1051 nt
Organism: Alligator mississippiensis (American alligator)
Lineage: Eukaryota; Metazoa; Chordata; Crocodylia; Alligatoridae
Exons: 2
Source: RefSeq, a predicted model, not a curated record